Molecule: ribosomal RNA, 253 nt
Filed under: uncultured bacterium
Lineage: Bacteria
Description: partial 16S ribosomal RNA
Rfam family: Bacterial small subunit ribosomal RNA
Source: RNAcentral
GACGAAGGGGGCUAGCGUUGUUCGGAAUUACUGGGCGUAAAGCGCGUGUAGGCGGUUGUUCAAGUCGGGUGUGAAAGCCUUGAGCUCAACUCAAGAAAUGCACUCGGUACUGGAUGACUAGAGGACCGGAGAGGAUAGUGGAAUUCCCAGUGUAGUGGUGAAAUACGUAGAGAUUGGGAAGAACACCAGUGGCGAAGGCGGCUAUCUGGACGGUUUCUGACGCUAAGACGCGAAAGCGUGGGGAGCAAACAGG